This 274-nucleotide ribosomal RNA is filed under the name uncultured bacterium. RNAcentral's name for it is "partial 16S ribosomal RNA". It matches the Rfam family "Bacterial small subunit ribosomal RNA", at positions 523 to 796 of the family's 1533-position model. The record is from RNAcentral.
AUACGAAGGGGGCUAGCGUUGUUCGGAAUUACUGGGCGUAAAGCGCACGUCGGCGGAUUGAUAAGUUAGGGGUGAAAUCCCGAGGCUCAACCUCGGAACUGCCUUUAAUACUGUUAGUCUCGAGUCCGGAAGAGGUGAGUGGAAUUCCUAGUGUAGAGGUGGAAUUCGUAGAUAUUAAGAAGAACACCAGUGGCGAAGGCGGCUCACUGGUCCGGUACUGACGCUGAGGUGCGAAAGCGUGGGGAGCAAACAGGAUUAGAAACCCUAGUAGUCC